AAGGAUCAUUAAUGAAAUGCAAGGACGCUCUUUUUAGAGGUCCGACCCAAAUCAUUUUCCUUUACACUGUGCACAUACUACUUUUUUCUACACCAUUUUUUAAACGCAAUAGUCUAAGAAUGUCAUAUCAGUCUCGAAAGAGCAUAAAAGUAAUAAAACUUUCAGCAACGGAUCUCUUGGCUCUCGCAUCGAUGAAGAACGCAGCGAAAUGCGAUACGUAAUGUGAAUUGCAGAAUUCAGUGAAUCAUCGAAUCUUUGAACGCACCUUGCACUCUUUGGUAUUCCGAAGAGUAUGUCUGUUUGAGUGUCAUGAAACUCUCAACCCCCUCAUUUUGUAAUGAAGUGUAGCGCGGGCUUGGUUUAUGGUUGCUGUCGGCGUAAAUGCCGGCUCAACUGAAAUUGACGAGCGACCCAGUUUGAAUACCAGACGGCUUGACUCGGCGUAAUAACUAUUACCGCUGAGGACGUCUACCUUUCAAAUCGUUAGUGGUGCUUCUAAUGCAUUUAUAAUUUAAGCUUUAGACCUCAAAUCAGUCAGGACUACCCGCUGAACUUAA
This 557-nucleotide ribosomal RNA is filed under the name Symmetrospora sp. MJL-2011. RNAcentral's name for it is "eukaryotic LSU rRNA". The stretch from base 157 to 310 matches the Rfam family "5.8S ribosomal RNA". The record is from RNAcentral. Lineage: Eukaryota; Fungi; Basidiomycota; Cystobasidiomycetes; Symmetrosporaceae.